RNAcentral lists this ribosomal RNA (492 nucleotides) under uncultured bacterium. RNAcentral describes it as "partial 16S ribosomal RNA". It matches the Rfam family "Bacterial small subunit ribosomal RNA", at positions 29 to 507 of the family's 1533-position model. The record is from RNAcentral.
AGUGAACGCUGGCGGUAGGCCUAACACAUGCAAGUCGAACGGCAGCACAGUAAGAGCUUGCUCUUACGGGUGGCGAGUGACGGACGGGUGAGGAAUACAUCGGAAUCUACUUUUUCGGGGGGGAUAACGGAGGGAAACUUACGCUAAUACCGCAUACGACCUACGGGUGAAAGCAGGGGAUCUUCGGAUCUUGCGCGAUUGAAUGAGCCGAUGUCGGUUUAGUUAGUUGGCGGGGUAAAGGCCCACCAAGGCGACGAACCGUAGCUGGUCUGAGAGGAUGAUCAGCCACACUGGAACUGAGACACGGUCCAGACUCCUACGGGAGGCAGCAGUGGGGAAUAUUGGACAAUGGGCGCAAGCCUGAUCCAGCCGUACCGCGUGGGUGAAGAAGGUCUUCGGGUUGUAAAGCCCUUUUGUUGGGAAAGAAAAGCAGCAGGUUAAUACCCCGCUGUUCUGACGGUACCUAAAGAAUAAGCACCGGCUAACUUCGUG